This 298-nucleotide unclassified non-coding RNA is filed under the name uncultured Sebacinales. Its description in RNAcentral is "sequence contains ITS2". Lineage: Eukaryota; Fungi; Basidiomycota; Agaricomycetes; Sebacinales. The record is from RNAcentral.
AACGCACCUUGCACCCUUUGGUAUUCCAAAGGGUACACCCGUUUGAGUGUCAUUGUAAUCUCACCUCUUUGGCUUUUUGUCGAUCAGCGUGGACUUGGAUGCUGUCGUGUAACAAACGGCUCGUCUGAAAUGCCUGAGUGUACCCUGCUUUGCGGCGUAUUCGGUGUGAUAAACAUCUUCACCGGAGUUGACUUUCGGGUCGCGCUUGUACAGAUUGGCUCUAUGCUUCUAACUGUCCUGACAAGACAAUCUUUGACAAUUUGACCUCAAAUCGGGUGGGACUACCCGCUGAACUUAA